UCACCUUCUCAAGCCCCUCCAUCUCAUCACGAUGUUCAUUGUCUUUCUUGCGAUUAUGUCGUCCUACACUACUCCAUGGUGCAGUAGAACCGGAAUGACCAAUGGAUGACGACCGCGAUACAGAAGCGCCAUUUCGAUAACGGAGAGAGGCUACACCGUUAUACACAUUUCCCAAAGAAAGCAAAUCAUCAUGGCGACCGACAGACCUGCCAUUCUCAUUACUGCUAGCAAAACUAAGUUUCGGUGGCCCAAGAAUAAUAUCGUCGUGUUCUAGAAACGUUAGUAAGGAUUUCAACAAAGAGACGGAAUCUAUCGACAAUGUCAAGGAAGCAACGUCAAAAACACGAAUUCCACAUCGACCUCAUAUCUGAUGCAGAAAAAGGUAGAAUGGAUUCACAUUAUAAUCAAUCCUGUAGUAAACAACCAUAUGACAUUUUUGCCGCAUCUUUUUGAACGU
Non-coding RNA from Schizosaccharomyces pombe (fission yeast), 457 nucleotides. The record is from the annotation of a GenBank genome assembly. NCBI's taxonomy places the organism in Eukaryota, Fungi, Ascomycota, Schizosaccharomycetes, Schizosaccharomycetales, Schizosaccharomycetaceae.